This 253-nucleotide ribosomal RNA is filed under the name uncultured bacterium. Its description in RNAcentral is "partial 16S ribosomal RNA". It matches the Rfam family "Bacterial small subunit ribosomal RNA", at positions 524 to 776 of the family's 1533-position model. The record is from RNAcentral.
UACGGGGGGGGCAAGCGUUGUUCGGAAUUACUGGGCGUAAAGGGCUCGUAGGCGGCCAACUAAGUCAGACGUGAAAUCCCUCGGCUUAACCUGGGAACUGCGUCGGAUACUGGAUGGCUUGAAUUCGGGAGAGGGAUGCAGAAUUCCAGGUGUAGCGGUGAAAUGCGUAGAUAUCUGGAGGAAUACCAGUAGCGAAGGCGGCACUCUGGGCCGGUACUGACGCUGAGGAGCGAAAGCGUGGGGAGCGAACAGG